Lagopus leucura (white-tailed ptarmigan) is the source of this 267-nucleotide long non-coding RNA. RefSeq lists it as uncharacterized. Lineage: Eukaryota; Metazoa; Chordata; Aves; Galliformes; Phasianidae. The record is from RefSeq and is a predicted model, not a curated record. The transcript has 4 exons.
CCCCACUUUUGGUGUUUUUUGUAGGUGAGCAUAGCAUACAGGCUCACUGAACAGUGAGAAGCGUUAUUCAUGUUUCACCCAUUCUGCUGCAUCAAAGGGAAAUUCCAUAAUCUACCAUAGGUCACUGAACAACCUGUACCAGAUUUUGCAGACGCUAGAAGGCAGAAGUGAAGCCUGACGGGAGUUACCACGAGGAUCGCGUAUCGGUCUUCCUAUCUGCGCUGUUCCAGAAUAUUAUUCUAUCUUCUCUGCUUCUUGACCGUGCAG